RNAcentral lists this ribosomal RNA (801 nucleotides) under Streptomyces sp. Its description in RNAcentral is "bacterial SSU rRNA". It matches the Rfam family "Bacterial small subunit ribosomal RNA", at positions 67 to 883 of the family's 1533-position model. The record is from RNAcentral. Lineage: Bacteria; Bacillati; Actinomycetota; Actinomycetes; Kitasatosporales; Streptomycetaceae.
CGAUGAACCACUUCGGUGGGGAUUAGUGGCGAACGGGUGAGUAACACGUGGGCAAUCUGCCCUGCACUCUGGGACAAGCCCUGGAAACGGGGUCUAAUACCGGAUAUGACCAUCUUGGGCAUCCUUGAUGGUGUAAAGCUCCGGCGGUGCAGGAUGAGCCCGCGGCCUAUCAGCUUGUUGGUGAGGUAACGGCUCACCAAGGCGACGACGGGUAGCCGGCCUGAGAGGGCGACCGGCCACACUGGGACUGAGACACGGCCCAGACUCCUACGGGAGGCAGCAGUGGGGAAUAUUGCACAAUGGGCGAAAGCCUGAUGCAGCGACGCCGCGUGAGGGAUGACGGCCUUCGGGUUGUAAACCUCUUUCAGCAGGGAAGAAGCGAAAGUGACGGUACCUGCAGAAGAAGCGCCGGCUAACUACGUGCCAGCAGCCGCGGUAAUACGUAGGGCGCGAGCGUUGUCCGGAAUUAUUGGGCGUAAAGAGCUCGUAGGCGGCUUGUCACGUCGGUUGUGAAAGCCCGGGGCUUAACCCCGGGUCUGCAGUCGAUACGGGCAGGCUAGAGUUCGGUAGGGGAGAUCGGAAUUCCUGGUGUAGCGGUGAAAUGCGCAGAUAUCAGGAGGAACACCGGUGGCGAAGGCGGAUCUCUGGGCCGAUACUGACGCUGAGGAGCGAAAGCGUGGGGAGCGAACAGGAUUAGAUACCCUGGUAGUCCACGCCGUAAACGGUGGGCACUAGGUGUGGGCAACAUUCCACGUUGUCCGUGCCGCAGCUAACGCAUUAAGUGCCCCGCCUGGGGAGUAC